CCUACGGGGUGCAGCAGUGGGGAAUAUUGCACAAUGGGCGCAAGCCUGAUGCAGCCAUGCCGCGUGUAUGAAGAAGGCCUUCGGGUUGUAGAGUACUUUCAGCGAGGAGGAAGGCGUUAAGGUUAAUAACCUUAGCGAUUGACGUUACUCGCAGAAGAAGCACCGGCUAACUCCGUGCCAGCAGCCGCGGUAAUACGGAGGGUGCAAGCGUUAAUCGGAAUUACUGGGCGUAAAGCGCACGCAGGCGGUCUGUCAAGUCGGAUGUGAAAUCCCCGGGCUCAACCUGGGAACUGCAUUCGAAACUGGCAGGCUAGAGUCUUGUAGAGGGGGGUAGAAUUCCAGGUGUAGCGGUGAAAUGCGUAGAGAUCUGGAGGAAUACCGGUGGCGAAGGCGGCCCCCUGGACAAAGACUGACGCUCAGGUGCGAAAGCGUGGGGAGCAAACAGGAUUAGAUACCCUCGUAGUC
RNAcentral lists this ribosomal RNA (465 nucleotides) under uncultured bacterium. RNAcentral's name for it is "bacterial SSU rRNA". It matches the Rfam family "Bacterial small subunit ribosomal RNA", at positions 338 to 795 of the family's 1533-position model. The record is from RNAcentral.